Molecule: ribosomal RNA, 254 nt
Filed under: uncultured bacterium
Lineage: Bacteria
Description: partial 16S ribosomal RNA
Rfam family: Bacterial small subunit ribosomal RNA
Source: RNAcentral
UACGUAGGGGCCUAGCGUUGUCCGGAUUUAUUGGGCGUAAAGAGCUCGUAGGCGGUUUGGUGAGUCGGGUGUGAAAUCUCCACGCUCAACGUGGAGGGGCCACCCGAUACUGCCAUGACUAGAGUCCGGUAGGGGAGUGUGGAAUUCCCGGUGUAGCGGUGAAAUGCGCAGAUAUCGGGAGGAACACCAGUAGCGAAGGCGACACCCUGGGCCGGUACUGACGCUGAGGAGCGAAAGCGUGGGGAGCAAACAGG